This 127-nucleotide ribosomal RNA is filed under the name Babelomurex echinatus. RNAcentral describes it as "partial 5.8S ribosomal RNA". It matches the Rfam family "5.8S ribosomal RNA", at positions 30 to 154 of the family's 154-position model. Rfam says of the family: 5.8S ribosomal RNA (5.8S rRNA) is a component of the large subunit of the eukaryotic ribosome. It is transcribed by RNA polymerase I as part of the 45S precursor that also contains 18S and 28S rRNA. Functionally, it is thought that 5.8S rRNA may be involved in ribosome translocation. The record is from RNAcentral. Lineage: Eukaryota; Metazoa; Mollusca; Gastropoda; Neogastropoda; Muricidae.
GCAUCGAUGAAGAACGCAGGCAUCUGCGUGAACUAAUGUUAAUUGCAGACACAUUGAAGCAUCGACACUUUAAACACAUAUUGCGGCCAAGGGUCCGUCCUUAGGCCACGCCCGUCUGAGGGUCGGC